This 74-nucleotide transfer RNA is filed under the name Blautia producta. Its description in RNAcentral is "tRNA-Met". It matches the Rfam family "tRNA". Rfam says of the family: Transfer RNA (tRNA) molecules are approximately 80 nucleotides in length. Their secondary structure includes four short double-helical elements and three loops (D, anti-codon, and T loops). Further hydrogen bonds mediate the characteristic L-shaped molecular structure. tRNAs have two regions of fundamental functional importance: the anti-codon, which is responsible for specific mRNA codon recognition, and the 3' end, to which the tRNAs corresponding amino acid is attached (by aminoacyl-tRNA synthetases). tRNAs cope with the degeneracy of the genetic code in two manners: having more than one tRNA (with a specific anti-codon) for a particular amino acid; and 'wobble' base-pairing, i.e. permitting non-standard base-pairing at the 3rd anti-codon position. RNAcentral also lists the same sequence under 3 other names. Lineage: Bacteria; Bacillati; Bacillota; Clostridia; Lachnospirales; Lachnospiraceae. The record is from RNAcentral.
CGCGGGAUGGAGCAGUCUGGAAGCUCGUUGGGCUCAUAACCCAAAGGCCGCAGGUUCAAAUCCUGCUCCCGCUA